AGUGAACGCUGGCGGCAGGCCUAAUACAUGCAAGUCGAACGGCAGCACAGUGGAGCUUGCUCCAUGGGUGGCGAGUGGCGGACGGGUGAGGCAUACAUGGGAAUCUGCCCAGUCGUGGGGGAUAACGUAGGGAAACUUACGCUAAUACCGCAUGCGCCCUUCGGGGGAAAGCCGGGGACCUUCGUGCCUGGCGCGGUUGGAUGAUCCCAUGUUCGCUUGGCUAGUUGGCGGGGUAAAGGCCCACCAAGGGGGCGAUCGAUCGCUGGUCUGAGAGGAGGAUCAGCCACACUGGAACUGAGACACGGCCCAGAGUCCUACGGGAGGGAGCAGUAGGGAAUAUUGGACAGUGGGCGCAAGCCUGAUCCAGCCAUGCCGAGUGAGUGAAGAAGGCCCUCGGGUUGUAAAGCUCUUUUGUCCGGGAAGAAAAGCAUCGGGCUAAUACCUCGGUGUUCUGACGGUACCGGAAGAAGAAGCACCGGCUAACUUCGUG
This 490-nucleotide ribosomal RNA is filed under the name uncultured bacterium. Its description in RNAcentral is "partial 16S ribosomal RNA". It matches the Rfam family "Bacterial small subunit ribosomal RNA", at positions 30 to 507 of the family's 1533-position model. The record is from RNAcentral.